CGCUCCUCGCACCGACCUCAGCGGGCCGGCAGCCCCUGCGGGGCGCGCAUCACUAGGGGGGCGGCCGCCUCAGCUCCGUAUCCCGCUCAGCUCCGUAUCCCGGCUGCGCGCUGUAUCCCCGGCUCGGCUCGGCUCGGCUCGGCUCGGCUCGGCUCGGCUCGGCUCGGCUCGGCUCGGCCCCGUCCCGCCCCGGCGCUCCCAGCCCUGCCCUGCCCCGCUCACGGCCCCGCGGCGCUUCCGCCCGGCACUGCUUCCGGCCGCCCCGCCCCGGCGGCCUCGCUGAUUGGCUCCUGGCCCUGCCCAUCACCGCUGCCCCGCCCACAGGGGGACGCCGGGGGGAAGCGGGCGGCCGUGCCACCCUCCGCUGAGCGAGGGUUGGUGUGUUCCGGGCGCCCUCCCCCCGCGGCCGGCAGUGGGCUGUACCGCGCGGGGCGAAGCGAAGCGUUCCCGGAGCCGCUGGAGAGGAGGAGGGAAAGAGGAAAAGUGCAUGCACUGAAGGAUGCCACAAGAGUAUUUAUGCAGCUGUGACUGAAAUACAGCUUAAAAGCCAUGGAAUAGUGUAAGUACCCACUAGGAUGUGCUGUUGGCCUAAAAUUGAAGCCCCGGUAUUUAAGAAACUGAAAUUUCAAAAUUCUUAGGUGUGAUGUAAACAUAAUCCCCAUACUAUUCUCAUUUGAAGAUUUCAGAGAAGACGUACAAUUUAUAGGACUUUUUAAGAAAAAGAAUGUGGUGGUUGAAUGAUAGGCAAAUUUUAUUAUCAUGCAACUAUCCUUAGCAGGCAUACUUGAAGUGAGAGUUUCCUGAAGGAGCGUCACAGCCAUGACCAUAUUCAAUUUCAAUAGCUAACAUUAGAACUCCUACAGCUGGACAUUUCUGUUGGAAGGUGUGGUCUCUGGGAUAAGACCUCCUGUAUACAUCACAUGGGCAAUAUAUGUAACACCUUUACAUACACAAAAAAAUGAAAUAUAUUCUAUAAUGAAUUACUUGUAUUUUUGGUCUUUUUGCCUGUUGUGAAUGCAAACAUAUAUCAAACAGUGUUCAACUAAUAUUUGUGGAUUUAAACUGAUAUAUUGCAUUACUGGAUGUAAAGCAACACUUGUUUAUCAAGAUGUGGAGUUCUGAAAAUUGAUAUGAUGGAAAUAUUUGACGCAUCGUUGCUAAAGCUUGUGGUUUGUCAUUUCAGUAAUAUGGACAUGUUUUAUCAGUUUUGAUACUUCAGCCUGGAAAUGGUUUCCUAUGUAGGAAUUUUCCAGCACUUGCAACUUUAUAGUGGCAAACAUACUCUUAAGUUGUCUGUGUAGAAAGUAGAUUGAUAUGAUGUGCAAGAGAACUUAGGGAAGGGUCUAUACAAACUGUUCUGUUAAACCCAGAAUGUGGUAUGAAGGCCUUCGUAGCUGGCAGUCCUUUCAUGCCAGCAACAGCUCCUGCAGGCACCUAGAAUUCUCAAAUUCCUUCAGCAACAAAGGGAGAAUUUUUUUUUUCUUCUGGAUUUUCCAUCUUAAAAAACAUAGCAGGAGUGUAAAAUCUUAAAGAUUCCUAAAAUACUUCAAUGUCAGUGUAGUACAGACAGUGCUGCCAAUGGUAAUGAUUAAGUGAUCUAAUAAGCCUUUUCUUCAAUUUGACUGAUUGUCUACCUGAUGCAUCAGGCUGGCAUAAUAUUAAAUAUAGUCUUUCCAGUCAUUCCUUUCUAACACCAGACAAAAGCUGAGUUUUACAGUUUUGGUCAUGUUUUCUCAGUUCUUUACCCAUCAGUGUUGCUAAUACCAGUCUACCAGAACUGAAAGGUAGUGCUGCAAAGUUUUGUGUAUACUUUGAAAAAUCUCCAAUCUACAACAUAAACCACUUUAAAAGAAAAAGGCCUUCAUCAAUUAAAACAUGUCAACAUCACAACUCUUCCUUCUGAAGAGUAAGAAUUUUUUUCUCAUUUCUUCUGAGAGCCAUGAACUAAGUUCUACUCUGAGAGCCAGGAAUUCUUCCAUUCUCAUUCUGGUACUGAGUCCGUUGUAGCCUAUGGCAAUUUAUCACUUUUUUUUUCUGUAUGUA
Molecule: long non-coding RNA, 2043 nt
Filed under: Corvus moneduloides (New Caledonian crow)
Lineage: Eukaryota; Metazoa; Chordata; Aves; Passeriformes; Corvidae
Description: lncRNA (ENSCMUG00000017253.1)
Source: RNAcentral